UACGGAGGGUGCAAGCGUUAUCCGGAUUCACUGGGUUUAAAGGGUGCGUAGGCGGGUUGAUAAGUCCGUGGUGAAAGCCCCAAGCUUAACCUGGGAACUGCCGUGGAUACUAUUAGUCUUGAAUAUCGAGGAGGUAAGCGGAAUAUGUCAUGUAGCGGUGAGAUGCUUAGAUAUGACAUGGAACACCAAUUGCGUAGGCAGCUUACUACACGAUUAUUGACGCUGAGGCACGAAAGCGUGGGGAGCAAAC
Molecule: ribosomal RNA, 250 nt
Filed under: uncultured bacterium
Lineage: Bacteria
Description: partial 16S ribosomal RNA
Rfam family: Bacterial small subunit ribosomal RNA
Source: RNAcentral